CUACGGGUGGCUGCAGUGAGGAAUAUUGCACAAUGGGGGGAACCCUGAUGCAGCAACGCCGCGUGGAGGAUGACGCAUUUCGGUGUGUAAACUCCUUUUAUAUGUCAAGAAAAUGACGGUAGCAUAUGAAUAAGCACCGGCUAACUCCGUGCCAGCAGCUGCGGUAAUACGGAGGGUGCAAGCGUUACUCGGAAUCACUGGGCGUAAAGGACGCGUAGGCGGGUUGGAAAGUCAGGUGUGAAAUCCUACAGCUUAACUGUAGAACUGCACUUGAAACUUCUAAUCUAGAGUAUGGGAGGGGGAGAUGGAAUUAGUGGUGUAGGGGUAAAAUCCGUAGACAUCACUAGGAAUACCUAAAGCGAAGGCGAUCUCCUGGAACAUUACUGACGCUAAGGCGUGAAAGCGUGGGGAGCAAACAGGAUUAGAUACCCCCGUAGUC
This 439-nucleotide ribosomal RNA is filed under the name uncultured bacterium. Its description in RNAcentral is "partial 16S ribosomal RNA". It matches the Rfam family "Bacterial small subunit ribosomal RNA", at positions 339 to 795 of the family's 1533-position model. The record is from RNAcentral.